UUCCGGUUGAUCCUGCCGGAGGUUACCGCUCUGGGAGUCGGAUUAAGCCAUGCUAGCGAAUGGCAGUUCGGCUGCCCCGCGAAUAGCUCAUUAACACGUGGUCAAUCUGUCCUUGGGACGGGGAUAACCCCGGGAAACUGGGGAUAAUACCCGAUAGACGGGGGUUCUGGAAAAGUCCCUCGUCGAAAUGCUCCGGCACCCAAGGGUGAGACUGCGGCCCAUUAGGUAGUUGGUGAGGUAAAGUCUCACCAAGCCACAGAUGGGUACGGGCCCUGAGAGGGGGAGCCCGGAGAUGGGGACUGAGACAAGGCCCCAGGCCCUACGGGGCGCAGCAGGUGCGAAAAUUUUGCAAUGCGUACAAGCGCGACGAAGCGACUCCCAGUGCCGAUGGUCCAACGACCGUCGGCUUUUCUGAAGCGUAAAAAGCUUCAGGUAAUAAGGGCCGGGUAAGACUGGUGCCAGCCGCCGCGGUAACACCAGCGGCCUGAGUGGUAACCGAU
RNAcentral lists this ribosomal RNA (500 nucleotides) under uncultured candidate division MSBL1 archaeon. RNAcentral's name for it is "bacterial SSU rRNA". It matches the Rfam family "Archaeal small subunit ribosomal RNA", at positions 1 to 499 of the family's 1478-position model. Lineage: Archaea; Methanobacteriati; Methanobacteriota. The record is from RNAcentral.